RNAcentral lists this ribosomal RNA (267 nucleotides) under uncultured bacterium. RNAcentral's name for it is "partial 16S ribosomal RNA". It matches the Rfam family "Bacterial small subunit ribosomal RNA", at positions 793 to 1055 of the family's 1533-position model. The record is from RNAcentral.
GUCCUAGCUGUAAACGGUGCUCACUUGCUGUAGACGGAAUCGACCCCGUCUGUGGCGAAGCUAACGCGUUAAGUGAGCCGCCUGGGGAGUACGGUCGCAAGAUUAAAACUCAAAGAAAUUGACGGGGGCCUGCACAAGCGGUGGAGUAUGUGGCUUAAUUCGAUGCAACGCGAAGAACCUUACCUGGCCUUGACAUGUAGGUGGUAGAAGUCUGAAAGGAUGACGACCCCGCAAGGGGAGCUUACACAGGUGCUGCAUGGCUGUCGU